UACUUCAAUUGCCCGUCCCCUUGCUCUGCUUCCAGGAGACAGGGAGAGAGAAACUCUAACUCCAUCUUCUCUGCAGCACUCAUGGUUUCAUAUAUGCUUAUUGUGUCCCCUGUGAUCUGUCUCCCAAGAUGUUGUGGCCUCUCUGUGUGCCUCCCUUUCCAGGUCAUUAAACAGCAUGAAGCCUAGAACAAAACCUUGGAGCACCUGCUGUUAACCUUUAAUAGCAGCCAGCAGCAAAGAAGAGCUACCACAUCUGUUUUGGCCAGGAGAGGAGGCAGCUGAACAAUGAGCAAAAGCAGAUAAGCACCAAGGGGGUCCUACUGCAGUCUGGAGAAAUUUGAGGAUGUUGCCUCCACUGAAGGACAUCUGGAGUGGCAGAACCCCCAGAUAUAAGCCAGCCUCCAUAUGCAAUAGUGAAGAUUCAGAGCAGGGUUUAAACAAUGGAAGAUAUGGCAGUGAAGACACUAAUGUCUGUCCAGACAGUUGCCACAUGGCAGCUCUACCUUUUCUUGGUCCUGGAUGUAUGGUCAUCUGCUCCAGACUGGGUGUGGAGUGACUGAGUGACCUCUGCAUCCUUUCACAGUGACUGGGUGACCUCUGCAUCCUUGAGAAUGUCAGGUCUACCAUGGAAAGGUGUCCAGGAGAGUGCUUUUAGCCUUGCAGCAUAAUACUAAAGGGACAUCAGGAGUUAGUGUCUUUAUCCAUGGUGCAAAAUAAGUGGGCACAGGUAUUCCAUGAAAAGCCAGUGCAUGUACAUAGCAUUUGGACUCUCUGAUCAAACUUCCUGAGGUCAUUUUAAAUACUCCCUGUAACUUCAGUCAGGCCCAUACUGGGCCUUGAAUCCUUUGUGGAGGGGUUAUUGAAAAACAGUGUUACCGCUGGCAACUGAGUCCAUUGAGUCUCCUCUCCUAGACUACCUGGAGUCAAGAGAAAAGUUCUUGCUUGCUUCUGAACCUCAGUCAGCAGAGCUUUAUUCUGUGGCUGGCUUAUCACUUGACAGUAUAUUAAGAUGCAUUAUCAAGAUGGGAUGGAGGAGCCUCCAAGGAGCUAUGUUAUGUUCCAGCACAUACUAAUUUGUGAUUCAAAUAAUAAAUUUCAUAGACACUA
Gavialis gangeticus (Gharial) is the source of this 1107-nucleotide long non-coding RNA. RefSeq lists it as uncharacterized. The transcript is spliced from 2 exons. Lineage: Eukaryota; Metazoa; Chordata; Crocodylia; Gavialidae. The record is from RefSeq and is a predicted model, not a curated record.